UUAUGGAGAGGAGGAGAGCGGUGGUUCAUCACCGCCGAGGAGGCCUGGGUUUGGAAGGCCUGGUGGUUAUGGAGAGGAGGAGACUGAGGAGAAGCCUAGUUAUGGGAGGAGUGAGUAUCAGGAGCCGCCGAGGAGGCCGAGUAGCUAUGAGACGCCAGAGACUGAGGAGUAUGGGAGGCCUAAAUAUGGCAGGCCUGGCUAUGAGACACCUGAGACUGAGGAGUUCGGGAGGCCGAGUUAUGGAAGAGGUGAGGAGCAGGAGUACCGCAAGCCUAAGCCUAGCUAUGGGCGUGGCAGUGAUGAUGAGGAUUCUGAGCGCCGUCAUCAGAGGCGUGGCAGUGAUGAUGAGGAUUCUGAGCGUCGUCAUCAGAGGCGUGGUAGUGAUGAUGAGGACUCUGAGCAUCGUCGGGGACAUGGUGGAGAGGGCUAUGGCCGCAAGAAAUAUGUGAGAAUCUCAGACUUUAAAUGUCCUUUACAGUUUUUGCGCCUUCAUAAUGUUUGUGUUGUUAGUGUUUUGCUUUGCACAUUAGUGUCUGCAUUUCCUGUUCUUGAUGAGUUUCCUUAGAUAACUUCUGGAGUAUUGGGGUGUUGAGGCGUAGAGUUAGCUCAUCAGGAAAUAGCUUGUUAACAGUGAAUUAUGUACUUAGUAGUAUAGUACAUUUGCAACGUCUUAUAUAUAGACUAAUGUAGCAGUUUACAUCAGCGACAUGUUGCCUUAUAUGAUUCAGUUGAAGAUUGUAUAUGACUUUAUGAAGGAAUUAGACCUUAGAGUUUGGUCAAUGCACGUGAGUUGAAUUAUGAUGGUUUGAUCAUCAAUUGAUGCGAUUUUCUGUCAGACACAUUUUCCUUUCCCUUGAGGUUUCUUGUUCCUCUGUUCUUUUUACUAGUUGAACUUGAUAAUAGCUGUAGGCAGUUCCAAGGAACAUUUUGUUCUCAAUCGUGUCUCAACAAGCUUUAAAAUGACUAUUGGUCUGUUAUGUUUCUAUGUCCUGAACAACUUUAUUGUCUGGAUUCUUUGGAUAAAUUAUUCUUGAAAACCAUCGAGUCUGUUGCAAAUCCUCUUGGCUGCAGAAUCUAAUAGAUGUAUACAGAUAAACGCAGAAUGUUAGUUGGGUUUCUGGUAGAACAAAUGGAAAUGUCCGCUCUUUCCUUUUCCUUCAUUGUAGUUCUUUUCUCUUAUUUUGAUCUCAUUUUUUGUUUAUGGCAGGGAAAUGACGACUCAGAUGAUGAUGAAGAGAAAAAGGAACGUCGCCACCACCAUCGUAAGAGCUAUGAUGAUGAAUGAUCAGAAUACUGAUCAUCUUAUUGAUG
RNAcentral lists this long non-coding RNA (1311 nucleotides) under Fragaria vesca (wild strawberry). Its description in RNAcentral is "long non-coding RNA (FVES_LNC003329)". Lineage: Eukaryota; Viridiplantae; Streptophyta; Magnoliopsida; Rosales; Rosaceae. The record is from RNAcentral.